Rhipicephalus sanguineus (brown dog tick) is the source of this 321-nucleotide long non-coding RNA. RefSeq lists it as uncharacterized. The transcript is spliced from 2 exons. The record is from RefSeq and is a predicted model, not a curated record. NCBI's taxonomy places the organism in Eukaryota, Metazoa, Arthropoda, Arachnida, Ixodida, Ixodidae.
GUACUAAUGGCCGACAAUAAGGAAGAUUUGCAGGGAUUUAUAGCCAUCUGCGGUAAUGAGGGAGAUAGGUUAAAUUUGAAGUUCAGUAAGGAAAAAUCGGCAGUCAUGAUUUUUAAUGAUAACCAAGGCAGUGAGCAUAGGAUACAGGAGGUCACGCUAGAGAUAACAGAUAAAUACAAAUAUCUGGGCGUAUGGAUAAGCAAUGGGGCUGAGUACCUAAGGGAACACGAAAUAUACGUAAUGACUAAGGGCAACAGGAAUGCAGCUGUAAUGAAAAAUAGGGCACUGUGGAACUACAAUAGGUAUGACGUUGUGAGAGGA